CCUACGGGAGGCAGCAGUGGGGAAUAUUGGGCAAUGGGCGCAAGCCUGACCCAGCAACGCCGCGUGAAGGAAGAAGGCUUUCGGGUUGUUAACUUCUUUUCUCAGGGACGAAGAAAGUGACGGUACCUGAGGAAUAAGCCAAGGCUAACUACGUGCCAGCAGCCGCGGUAAUACGUAGGCGGCAAGCGUUCUCCGGAUUUAUUGGGUAUAAGGGGCGUGUAGGCGGGGUGGCAAGGCAGAUGUGAAAACUCCGGGCUCAACCCUGAGCCUGCAUUUGAAACUGUGUUUCUUGAGUGGUGGAGAGGCAAGCGGAAUUCGGGGUGUAGCGGUGAAAUGCGUAGAUAUACGGAGGAACACCAGUGGCGAAGGCAGAUUACUGGACAGUAACUGACGCUGAGGCGCGAAAGCGUGGGGAGCAAACAGGAUUAGAUACCCCAGUAGUC
This 443-nucleotide ribosomal RNA is filed under the name uncultured bacterium. RNAcentral describes it as "partial 16S ribosomal RNA". It matches the Rfam family "Bacterial small subunit ribosomal RNA", at positions 338 to 795 of the family's 1533-position model. The record is from RNAcentral.